GAGUUUGAUCCUGGCUCAGGACGAACGCUGGCGGCGUGCCUAAUACAUGCAAGUCGAGCGGAUUGAUGGGAGCUUGCUCCCUGAUAUCAGCGGCGGACGGGUGAGUAACACGUGGGUAACCUGCCUGUAAGACUGGGAUAACUCCGGGAAACCGGGGCUAAUACCGGAUAACUCAUUUCCUCGCAUGAGGAAAUGUUGAAAGAUGGCUUCUUGCUAUCACUUACAGAUGGACCCGCGGCGCAUUAGCUAGUUGGUGAGGUAACGGCUCACCAAGGCAACGAUGCGUAGCCGACCUGAGAGGGUGAUCGGCCACACUGGGACUGAGACACGGCCCAGACUCCUACGGGAGGCAGCAGUAGGGAAUCUUCCGCAAUGGACGAAAGUCUGACGGAGCAACGCCGCGUGAGUGAUGAAGGUUUUCGGAUCGUAAAGCUCUGUUGUUAGGGAAGAACAAGUGCCGUUCGAAUAGGGCGGCACCUUGACGGUACCUAACCAGAAAGCCACGGCUAACUACGUGCCAG
Molecule: ribosomal RNA, 521 nt
Filed under: Rossellomorea vietnamensis
Lineage: Bacteria; Bacillati; Bacillota; Bacilli; Caryophanales; Bacillaceae
Description: bacterial SSU rRNA
Rfam family: Bacterial small subunit ribosomal RNA
Source: RNAcentral